AAUAGAUACCCAGGUAGUCCACGCCGUAAACGAUGGAUGCUAGCUGUUUGGAGGUAUCGACCCCUUCAGAAGCGAAGCUAACGCGUUAAGCAUCCCGCCUGAGUAGUACGAGCGCAAGCUUAAAACUCAAAGGAAUAGACGGGGACCCGCACAAGCGGUGGAGCGUGUUCUUUAAUUGGAUGAUAAGCCAAGAACCUUACCCAGGUUUGACAUCCUGCGAAGGACUCCGAAAGGAAUCUGUGCUUUUUUGAACGCAGUGACAGGUGUUGCAUGGCCGUCGUCAGCUCGUGUCGUGAGAUGUUGGGUUAAGUCCCGCAACGAGCGCAACCCUUAUAGUUAGUUGGAUUUUUCUAACUAGACUGCCUCGGUAACGGGGAGGAAGGAGGGGAUGAUGUCAGGUCCGUAUUACCCUUACACCUGGGGCUAGAAACGCGCUACAAUGGCCGGUACAAUGGGCAGCCAAAUCGCGAGAUGGAGCUAAUCCCACCAAAGCCGGUCUUAGUUCGGAUUGGAGGCUGAAAUUCGCCUCCAUGAAGCCGGAAUCGCUAGUAACC
RNAcentral lists this ribosomal RNA (554 nucleotides) under uncultured bacterium. RNAcentral describes it as "bacterial SSU rRNA". It matches the Rfam family "Bacterial small subunit ribosomal RNA", at positions 777 to 1343 of the family's 1533-position model. The record is from RNAcentral.